ACCCGCUGAACUUAAGCAUAUCAAUAAGCGGAGGAAAAGAAACCAACAGGGAUUGCCCUAGUAACGGCGAGUGAAGCGGCAACAGCUCAAAUUUGAAAUCUGGCGUCUUUGGCGUCCGAGUUGUAAUUUGCAGAGGGCGCUUUGGCAUUGGCAGCGGUCCAAGUUCCUUGGAACAGGACGUCACAGAGGGUGAGAAUCCCGUACGUGGUCGCUAGCCUUUACCGUGUAAAGCCCCUUCGACGAGUCGAGUUGUUUGGGAAUGCAGCUCUAAAUGGGAGGUAAAUUUCUUCUAAAGCUAAAUACUGGCCAGAGACCGAUAGCGCACAAGUAGAGUGAUCGAAAGAUGAAAAGCACUUUGGAAAGAGAGUUAAAAAGCACGUGAAAUUGUUGAAAGGGAAGCGCUUGCAGCCAGACUUGCCUGUAGUUGCUCAUCCGGGUUUUUACCCGGUGCACUCUUCUAUAGGCAGGCCAGCAUCAGUUUGGGCGGUUGGAUAAAGGUCUCUGUCACGUACCUCCUCUCGGGGAGAACUUAUAGGGGAGACGUAAUGCAACCAGCCUGGACUGAGGUCCGCGCAUCUGCUAGGAUGCUGGCUUAAUGGCUGUAAGCGGCCCGUCUUGAAACACGGACCAAGGAGUCUAACAUCUAUGCGAGUGUUUGGGUGUCAAGCCCGAGCGCGUAAUGAAAGUGAACGGAGGUGGGAACCUUUCGGGGUGCACCAUCGACCGAUCCUGAUGUCUUCGGAUGGAUUUGAGUAAGAGCAUAGCUGUUGGGACCCGAAAGAUGGUGAACUAUGCUUGAAUAGGGUGAAGCCAGAGGAAACUCUGGUGGAGGCUCGCAGCGGUUCUGACGUGCAAAUCGAUCGUCAAAUUUGGGCAUAGGGGCGAAAGACUAAUCGAACUAUCUAGUA
Molecule: ribosomal RNA, 908 nt
Filed under: Boeremia exigua var. exigua
Lineage: Eukaryota; Fungi; Ascomycota; Dothideomycetes; Pleosporales; Didymellaceae
Description: LSU rRNA
Rfam family: Eukaryotic large subunit ribosomal RNA
Source: RNAcentral